AUUGAAAGCUGGCGGCAGGCGAAACAAAAGCAAGUCUGGCGAGCGGCGGACGGGUGAGUAAUGUCUGGGAAACUGCCUGAUGGAGGGGGAUAAAUGCUGGAAACGGUAGCUCAUACCGACUACCAUCAGAUGUGCCCAGAUGGGAUUAGCUAGUAGUUGGGGUAAUGGCUCACCUAGGCGACGAUCCCUAGCUGGUCUGAGAGGAUGACCAGCCACACUGGAACUGAGACACGGUCCAGACUCCUACGGUAGGCAGCAGUGGGGAAUAUUGCACAAUGGGCGCAAGCCUGAUGCAGCCAUGCCGCGUGUAUGAAGAAGGCCUUCGGGUUGUAAAGUACUUUCAGCGAGGAGGCGUUACUCGCAGAAGAAGCACCGGCUAACUCCGUGCCAGCCGCCGCGGUAAUAC
Molecule: ribosomal RNA, 406 nt
Filed under: uncultured bacterium
Lineage: Bacteria
Description: partial 16S ribosomal RNA
Rfam family: Bacterial small subunit ribosomal RNA
Source: RNAcentral